Molecule: long non-coding RNA, 596 nt
Organism: Arabidopsis lyrata subsp. lyrata
Lineage: Eukaryota; Viridiplantae; Streptophyta; Magnoliopsida; Brassicales; Brassicaceae
Exons: 2
Source: RefSeq, a predicted model, not a curated record
AAAUCUUAGGAAAUAAAGAAUUAAAAUUAAAUGAAAAAUGGUUUUAAUCUUAAGAACGUUGCUUAGUUAAGCAACAUUUAUUUAUCUAAGCGGCGGACAGGUGUCACUCAGAGACAAGAGAAAGAAAAAAUUGCCCCGAUUUCAUUCUGUCGUUUACGCGUUUCUCUCUCUCUCUCCAUGAUGAACAUCACAGACAAGGAGGAGGAGACUAGGAAGAUCGAUUUUAUCAAUCUCGAUUGAAAAAAAUGUUUCGGAGAAUUUCCGGUUGUUGGAGGAGCUUGAACGUGGGGAGAAAGGUAUUGGGGAUAGAACUGUGAGCUAUGGAAUGGAUAAUGGAGAUGAUAUCUAUAUGCGUUCUUGGACUGGCACCACCAUUGGUCCUCACAACGUAGUUAUAUCUUUUUCUUUAUCUACUUUUGUCCUCAUAUCUGCAACUUAACUAUGUUAGCAAUUGUUUUAAGAAGCAUUGAUUAAAGUUCUAAGUUAUCUUCAUUACUAGUUCGAUUUUCCCUUCCUUCAUUGCUAGACUACAAAAAGUCAAAACCACAUUGUGUUUUAGGCAUCAAUCUUAUCGAUACAUGAUCUCUUACGCUGCA